GAGAAUGUUGGCAUCAGUAGCGAGAUGUGGGUGAGAAUCCCACAGGCCGAAAACCUAAGGUUUCCUCAGGAAGGUUCGUCCGCUGAGGGUUAGUCGGGACCUAAGCCGAGGCCGAAAGGCGUAGGUGAUGGACAACUGGUUGAUAUUCCAGUACCACUACCAUCGUUAUUAUCGAUGGCGUGACGCAGGAGGAUAGUGUGUGCUAGCUAUUGGAUGCUAGUCUAAGCGUUUAGGCAGUGAGAGUAGGCAAAUCCGCUCUCAUA
Molecule: ribosomal RNA, 263 nt
Filed under: Clostridium perfringens
Lineage: Bacteria; Bacillati; Bacillota; Clostridia; Eubacteriales; Clostridiaceae
Description: partial 23S ribosomal RNA
Rfam family: Bacterial large subunit ribosomal RNA
Source: RNAcentral